ACAAUUCAUCAUUCCAAUGGCAAGAAAGUCGUAGUGAUGACAUCCAAUUGGAAACCAAAUAAUAAUGCAUCCAAUUACCUUCUGUUUAGAAUAAUUGAAAAAUCCCAUGAUAUCAUCUACAGACUACAUAUGCUCACUCCACAAGUCAAAUUAUGUUACCGCAUCAUAAAACUUUUUCCUCCUGUCUUCAGUAUAUCAGAAAACAGUAUCCAAGAAAAUGGUAUCAUAUUGAAUUUUAAAUAGGGGAUGGAAAGACCUCUUCUUCAAAUCGUGAAUCGUAAGAUACAUUGCUAAUAAAAAUGUCAAUUGUAACUAAAAAAGCAAGUGAAAUAACAAAAUUAUAACUUGAUAUAUCAUAUAGGAACCUCAAAAUAUUUAAAGAUUCAAGUCAUAUCAAAUGACAGAAUAAAAGUGGUUGACUGCACUAAGUUUCGGCAGUUAUUUAUUAGAAGGAAUCAGGAUUCAAGAUAAGAUUCAUCUCCAAAAAGUAAAAACCGGGGAUUCAUAUCAAUUGAGUUCAAUUUAGUAUUGAAUCAAGAUAGAACUUGUUGCAUUUAACCAAUGAAGGGUAGUAUUACAAACAGUCCAAAAAAGCAAAAAACAUCACAGUAGUUUCUUCACUUAAUUUCUCACACACCAAAAUAAAUCAAUAAUUGAAAACACCACAUUCAAUUCAAUACAGUAGUAAUUAAUGAAGCAAUAAAAAAAUAGUAAAAAACAAAAUUGCAAAAUUGGAGAGAUAGCAGUACCUUCCAAUCAAUGGCAUGAAAAAAACCCAAAAAGUUAUCGUAAGCAGGACGAAGGUUAGAA
Molecule: long non-coding RNA, 810 nt
Filed under: Trifolium pratense (red clover)
Lineage: Eukaryota; Viridiplantae; Streptophyta; Magnoliopsida; Fabales; Fabaceae
Description: long non-coding RNA (TPRA_LNC008359)
Source: RNAcentral